UGGGGCGUUGGGGAAGAGGGUCUUGGGAAGAUGUGAAGAAUGACCUCGGUGGAGAAGAAUGACUUUGGUUGGGGUGCCUGGAGCUGUGAAAGAACGGCAACUGCCUGGCAACUGCCCCCACUGUUCCUGGCCUGAGGCUGGACAGCCUACACCGGAGUCCCACGGGAAGGCAAGCUCGACCAGGCGGGAUGAUGGCUCAUUCCCAUAAUCUAAGCGCCUGGGAGGGCUGAAGCAGGAGGAUUUCGAUGUGUUCAAGGCCAACCUGGACUACUGACACCCUAUCUCCAUAAAAUAGAAAGAAAGAAAGAAAGAAAGAAAGAAAGAAAGAAAGAAAG
This 335-nucleotide long non-coding RNA is filed under the name Rattus norvegicus (Norway rat). Its description in RNAcentral is "long non-coding RNA NONRATT017095". The record is from RNAcentral. Lineage: Eukaryota; Metazoa; Chordata; Mammalia; Rodentia; Muridae.